RNAcentral lists this small RNA (3323 nucleotides) under Pongo abelii (Sumatran orangutan). Its description in RNAcentral is "processed transcript". The record is from RNAcentral. Lineage: Eukaryota; Metazoa; Chordata; Mammalia; Primates; Hominidae.
CUAUUGUGUCUGUACUUCAUGACUACUCCAUCUGCACACUUGGUGCCCGGGAUGACGAUGGCCGUGAGUCUCCCAUGGCGACUGCCACCAGUGAGGGGCAGGAGGGCUGUCUGCAGGCAGGUGCGAUGGAGCCCAGCUCCUGUCACGUCUGCUGCCACCGACCUGGGCGUCCCACCCCUCCUGGGAGGAAGGAAGCCUCUCCUCCAUCUUGAGAGACCUGCCAGGCAGGGCCUAGUGCCCCCACUCAGCACCCCGCCACCAAAACAGGCUCCACAUGCUCACGGCACAACACCGCCCUCUGUCCUCUCCCACCCUCCGCCAUCCCUGUCGCCGCAUGUGCUGCUGUCUCCAUGCCACCAGUUCCAAGUGCUCCAUGGUCACACAUGUUCACAUGUGCACAUACAUGCGUUGGGGCUUUCUCUGCCACCCUGCUCAAGUCUCACACUAACGCUGCCUGUGUAUGCCCUACCUCCCCUAGGUAUGCGAGACCACCCACCCAUCCCCAUCACCGACCUGGCAGACAACAUCGAACGCCUCAAAGCCAAUGAUGGCCUCAAGUUCUCCCAGGAGUAUGAGUCCAUCGACCCUGGACAGCAGUUCACGUGGGAGAAUUCAAACCUGGAGGUGAACAAGCCCAAGAACCGCUAUGCGAAUGUCAUCGCCUAUGACCACUCUCGAGUCAUCCUUACCUCCAUCGAUGGUGUCCCCGGAAGUGACUACAUCAAUGCCAACUACAUCGAUGGCUACCGCAAGCAGAAUGCCUACAUCGCCACACAGGGCCCCCUGCCCGAGACCAUGGGCGAUUUCUGGAGAAUGGUGUGGGAACAGCGCACGGCCACUGUGGUCAUGAUGACACGACUGGAGGAGAAGUCCCGGGUAAAAUGUGAUCAGUACUGGCCAGCCCGUGGCACCGAGACCUAUGGCCUUAUUCAGGUGACCCUGUUGGACACAGUGGAGCUGGCCACAUAUACUGUGCGCACCUUCGCACUCCACAAGAGUGGCUCCAGUGAGAAGCGUGAGCUGCGUCAGUUUCAGUUCAUGGCCUGGCCAGACCAUGGAGUUCCUGAGUACCCAACUCCCAUCCUGGCGUUCCUACGACGGGUCAAGGCCUGCAACCCCCUAGACGCAGGGCCCAUGGUGGUGCACUGCAGCGCGGGCGUGGGCCGCACCGGCUGCUUCAUCGUGAUUGAUGCCAUGUUGGAGCGGAUGAAGCACGAGAAGACAGUGGACAUCUAUGGCCACGUGACCUGCAUGCGAUCACAGAGGAACUACAUGGUGCAGACGGAGGACCAGUACGUGUUCAUCCACGAGGCGCUGCUGGAGGCUGCCACGUGCGGCCACACAGAGGUGCCUGCCCGCAACCUCUAUGCCCACAUCCAGAAGCUGGGCCAAGUGCCUCCAGGGGAGAGUGUGACCGCCAUGGAGCUCGAAUUCAAGUUGCUGGCCAGCUCUAAGGCCCACACGUCCCGCUUCAUCAGCGCCAACCUGCCCUGCAACAAGUUCAAGAACCGGCUGGUGAACAUCAUGCCCUACGAAUUGACCCGUGUGUGUCUGCAGCCCAUCCGUGGUGUGGAGGGCUCUGACUACAUCAAUGCCAGCUUCCUGGAUGGUUAUAGACAGCAGAAGGCCUACAUAGCUACACAGGGGCCUCUGGCAGAGAGCACCGAGGACUUCUGGCGCAUGCUAUGGGAGCACAAUUCCACCAUCAUCGUCAUGCUGACCAAGCUUCGGGAGAUGGGCAGGGUGAGCCCACCCUUUCCCCCAGGGCCCCUGUCAUACCUGGGAGAACACCAGCCACCCUUGGGGGAGCUGCCGCCUAUGUUACUGUGUCCUUUCACACCCCAGCUGCUUGUCAGCAUGGCCUCCGGCACCCGUUAUUACCACCUGAGGCAUCUGUCCCAGAAUCCUGUGAAGCCUGGCACCCCUCCCCCAUUCCUUCUCACCUGAUUAUGGGGGCCCGACCCUCUGUCCACAGGAGAAAUGCCACCAGUACUGGCCAGCAGAGCGCUCCGCUCGCUACCAGUACUUUGUUGUUGACCCGAUGGCUGAGUACAACAUGCCCCAGUAUAUCCUGCGUGAGUUCAAGGUCACGGAUGCCCGGGAUGGGCAGUCAAGGACAAUCCGGCAGUUCCAGUUCACAGACUGGCCAGAGCAGGGCGUGCCCAAGACAGGCGAGGGAUUCAUUGACUUCAUCGGGCAGGUGCAUAAGACCAAGGAGCAGUUUGGACAGGAUGGGCCUAUCACGGUGCACUGCAGUGCUGGCGUGGGCCGCACCGGGGUGUUCAUCACUCUGAGCAUUGUCCUGGAGCGCAUGCGCUACGAGGGCGUGGUCGACAUGUUUCAGACUGUGAAGACCCUGCGUACACAGCGUCCUGCCAUGGUGCAGACAGAGGACCAGUAUCAGCUGUGCUACCGUGCGGCCCUGGAGUACCUCGGCAGCUUUGACCACUAUGCAACGUAACUACCGCUCCCCUCUCCUCCGCCACCCCCGCCGUGGGGCUCCGGAGGGGACCCAGCUCCUCUGAGCCAUACCGACCAUCGUCCAGCCCUCCUACGCAGAUGCUGUCACUGGCAGAGCACAGCCCACGGGGAUCACAGCGUUUCAGGAACAUUGCCACACCAAUCAGAGAGCCUAGAACAUCCCUGGGCAAGUGGGUGGCCCGGCAGGCAGGCACUGUGGCCCUUCUGUCCGCCAGGCCUGGAGCCCGCUUCAAGCUCUCUGUUGCGCUCCCGCGUUUCUCAUGCUUCUUCUCAUGGGGUGGGGUUGGGGCAAAGCCUCUUUUUUAAUACAUUAAGUGGGGUAGACUGAGGGAUUCUAGCCUCUUCCCUCUGAUUUUUCCUUUUGCGAAUCCGUAUCUGCAGAAUGGGCCACUGUAGGGGUUGGGGUUUAUUUUGUUUUGUUUUUUUUUGUUUUUUUUUUUGAGUUCACUUUGGAUCCUAUUUUGUAUGACUUCUGCUGAAGGACAGAACAUUGCCUUCCUCGUGCAGAGCUGGGGCUGCCAGCCUGAGCGGAGGCUCGGCUGUGGGCCGGGAGGCAGCGCUGAUCCGGCUGCUCCUCCAGCCCUUCAGACGAGAUCCUGUUUCAGCUAAAUGCAGGGAAACUCAAUUUUUUUUUAAGUUUUGUUUUCCCUUAAAAGCCUUUUUUUAGGCCACAUUGACAGUGGUGGGCGGGGAGAAGAUAGGGAACACUCAUCCCUGGUCGUCUAUCCCAGUGUGUGUUUAACAUUCACAGCCCAGAACCACAGACGUGUCUGGGAGAGCCUGGCAAGGCAUUCCUCAUCACCAUCGUGUUUGCAAAGGUUAAAAAAAAAACAAAAAACCAC